UACGUAGGGUGCGAGCGUUAAUCGGAAUUACUGGGCGUAAAGCGUGCGCAGGCGGUUCGUUAUGUCCGAUGUGAAAGCCCCCGAGCUCAACUUGGGAAUGGCAUUGGAAACUGGCGGGCUGGAGUGUGGCAGAGGGGGGGUGGAAUUCCACGGUGUAGCAGUGAAAUGCGUAGAGAUGUGGAGGAACACCGAUGGCGGAAGGCAGCCCCCUGGGCCAACACUGACGCCUCAGGCACGAAAGCGUGGGGAGCAAACAGG
Molecule: ribosomal RNA, 258 nt
Filed under: uncultured bacterium
Lineage: Bacteria
Description: partial 16S ribosomal RNA
Rfam family: Bacterial small subunit ribosomal RNA
Source: RNAcentral